Molecule: RNase P RNA, 445 nt
Filed under: Gloeocapsopsis dulcis AAB1 = 1H9
Lineage: Bacteria; Bacillati; Cyanobacteriota; Cyanophyceae; Chroococcidiopsidales; Chroococcidiopsidaceae
Also listed under: 1 other name
Description: RNase P RNA component class A
Rfam family: Bacterial RNase P class A
About the family: Ribonuclease P (RNase P) is a ubiquitous endoribonuclease, found in archaea, bacteria and eukarya as well as chloroplasts and mitochondria. Its best characterised activity is the generation of mature 5'-ends of tRNAs by cleaving the 5'-leader elements of precursor-tRNAs. Cellular RNase Ps are ribonucleoproteins.
Source: RNAcentral
AAGAGUAGGCGCAGCGGUUGCGGAACAGUUUUAGUCACUGUUCUGAGGAAAGUCCGGACUCCCGAAAGACCAAACUUGCUGGGUAACGCCCAGUGCGGGCGACCGUGAGGAUAGUGCCACAGAAACAUACCGCCGCUAAAGAGUUAUGAGUUAUGAGUGCUGAGUUUUGAGUUACUAAUUCAAAAUUCAAAAUUCAAAAUUCAAAACUUUGCGGUAAGGGUGCAAAGGUGCGGUAAGAGCGCACCAGCAGCGUCGAGAGGCGCUGGCUCGGUAAACCCCGGUUGGGAGCAAGGUCGUAGGAACUAUGGUUGGUCUUUUACCAGUUCCGCUGAUUGUGAACCGCUAGAGGCGUCUGGUAACAGGCGUCCCAGAUAGAUAACUGCACUUCGCUAACAACAUUGUUGUUAGGAAGGAACAGAACCCGGCUUAUGUCUUACUCUUUCCC